This 465-nucleotide ribosomal RNA is filed under the name Vreelandella stevensii. RNAcentral's name for it is "partial 16S ribosomal RNA". It matches the Rfam family "Bacterial small subunit ribosomal RNA", at positions 338 to 795 of the family's 1533-position model. Lineage: Bacteria; Pseudomonadati; Pseudomonadota; Gammaproteobacteria; Oceanospirillales; Halomonadaceae. The record is from RNAcentral.
CCUACGGGUGGCAGCAGUGGGGAAUAUUGGACAAUGGGCGAAAGCCUGAUCCAGCCAUGCCGCGUGUGUGAAGAAGGCCUUCGGGUUGUAAAGCACUUUCAGUGGGGAAGAAAGCCUUGGGGCUAAUACCCUCGAGGAAGGACAUCACCCACAGAAGAAGCACCGGCUAACUCCGUGCCAGCAGCCGCGGUAAUACGGAGGGUGCGAGCGUUAAUCGGAAUUACUGGGCGUAAAGCGCGCGUAGGCGGUCUGAUAAGCCGGUUGUGAAAGCCCCGGGCUCAACCUGGGAACGGCAUCCGGAACUGUCAGGCUAGAGUGCAGGAGAGGAAGGUAGAAUUCCCGGUGUAGCGGUGAAAUGCGUAGAGAUCGGGAGGAAUACCAGUGGCGAAGGCGGCCUUCUGGACUCACACUGACGCUGAGGUGCGAAAGCGUGGGUAGCAAACAGGAUUAGAUACCCCUGUAGUC